UUUCGCGUUUUCUAUUUACUUCACACUCGUAUCACAUUUCAUGUGAUUGUUGAAGGACGGACGGAGUGCAAUGAUAGCUAUGGGGUGAACACGGUGAAAUAUGUGUGCUGUAUGCGACCGAGUGGUGACAUAUUUGCCUAUUAACUUCCAUUUAAAUUACUUGACCACUCGAGGCACCGCUAAACUCAUAAGUCAAUCAAUUUUACGUAGCUAGCACAGAGCUAACUAUCGUGGACAUGAAAGGAGAUAUUUAAAAUAUAAACAAGUGUGUGGUUGCUCUGUUUCGCUUUGGAUCUGAUAGUUUUCGCCUCGUUAUUCGGCAGCAUUUGAUCUUGGACAUCUACAGAGUCCUGGAAAUGGAUCCAGCGGGUUUGCGCGAGAGUCCUGCGGGUUCUGGAGAAUCUUUAGAGGAAAAGAGUGGAGAAGAAUCUGUUGGAGACCAAACAGAGGACGUGAACGACGAUGGCCGAGAGGCUGAUGGGGAAUCCGAGAAAAUAGAAAUGGAAAAUAAAGCCUCUUACCGAUCUAUAGGUGAAGAGGAAAGAAAGACGCAUGGAAAAUUACCUGAGGAUCAACUAGAUCCCAGAAUCCCGGAGGAACUUGAGCAUCUAAAUGAGGCUGGUAAGGAGAUCAACAAGCUGGAACUGGAGCUGCAAGAGGUUCGGGCCAGCCACGGGAGGAUUAUGAGUGAAUCGGUGCUUAAACUCAAGACAAUGAAUUCAGAACUGGGGUCCUGUAUCAAAAAGGCCAGACCUUAUUAUGAGGCACGGAACAAAGCAAAAGAGACCCAGCAGGAGACCCAGAAAGCAGUGCUCAGCUUUGAGAGAGCAGCCUCCAUGCACUUAGCUGCUCGGGAGAUGGUCCAUGUGGCUGAACAAGGCCUCUCUGCAGUCAAGACACUGGAUCCAACCUGGCAAGAGAUGCUGAAUCAUGCCACAUCAAAGGUGAACGAGGCAGAAGAGGAGCGCUUGAAGUGUGAACGUGAGCACAUGCGUGUCACUCAGCAGUGCCAGGAGGCCGAGGCUCACAUGCAGCAGCUGCUGAAGUCUCUGAAGAGAGCCAUCGUAAAGUCCAAGCCUUACUUUGAACUCAAGGCUCAGUUCAAUGACACACUAGAUGAGCACAAGUCAAAGAUUUUAGAGUUAGAGGAGCAUAUUUCCAAAGCCAAGGUAAACUACUCCAGCACUCUGCACCAACUGGAGCAAAUCAGUGUGGAGAUUCACGCCCAGAGAGAGCAGGAUCAACCAAAGGAUAAAUCAAACAAAACAUACGGUGGGCGGAGCCCUCCAGUAGGAGCAGAGACAAACAGCAGCACAGAGACUGAAGGCGAAGCCUCUGGAGACUACAGACCAAGUGAAUGGGUAGAUGGAAAAGAGGGAGUGGCUAAUGCCAUUAAGUUGGGGAAGAUGGAAACUGCUGUGGUGAAGAGAUCUGAUUCGAACUCCCUGUCCAGUGUCAGUUUGCAGACCAUCAUCUCAGAUCUUGGAAAGUGUGACUCAGUUGAACAUCUGGGUCAUCUAAGUAGUGAUGUUAGUCUUUCAGGGCAAGAGGGGGAGGGUACGGGGUGUGUGAGGCAAACAAAUGUAGACAUUUUAGAGGAGUUUCUCAAACAGCACAACAGAAGUGUCAGUUUGUGAGUGCGUACAUCUGUACUGUCCAUUUACAUUUUUUUUGUUUUUGUUUUGAUGCUUUACUUCCACGAAGACCUGUUGAUUUAACGACUGACAGAGCAAGUUUUAAUAUUAUUAUUAUUAUUUAUUGUUGAAUAUAUUUUUAUCAAUACUUGAAAGUUGAAAACCGAGUAGACCGAAAUAGAAAGAAAUAUACAUAUAUAUAUUUUUUUUUAAAACAAGUACCCAACCCUCACAUGAUAAUGUUAUCACAUUUGGGAAUUUCAGAUGAAGUGGGAAAAGACUGACAAUAAUAAGGCAAGUAAUCUCUGCUAUCACUUUUUAGUCUAAUCAACAUACCACACAAUCCCAUAUCAAGAACCAAGUUUUUCUAUGCAAAUGUAUAGUGUAUCAUAUGCUGACUCUUUUUAUUAUAGUCUCUAUUGCUGAUAUAAUAAUACUACAAAUAUUAUUUCAUCUUAUUAGAGGUAAUUUCGCUCUGUACUCUUCUGAUUUUUCAAACUGCAUGUGAACUUCAGUUCACUUUCUGACACAAUCAUACUCUCUGAAUGAGUAAUGCUGUCUAUGAUUAGCUAGUGCAGUGGUCUAAAUUUAUACUAUUAUUUUUCUCACUUGUUUAUUUAAAUUUUAAGAUAAUUUUACUUAAAACAUUUAUUUUUUUGCCUUUUCUCUUAUGCUGAAUUUGAAAUCGUGUUUCACGACAAGUGCUUUGGCUGGAUACCUUAAACCAACAGACAGACACUACCAUAUAAUAUCAAAAUCAUGCUUCAAUUCUUAAAAAUGCAUAUACUGUGUGUGUGUGUGUAUAUAUAUAUAUAUAUAUAAGGCAUACUUUUAUGCUUGUCUCUCUUUUUUUUUUUUUUUUUGGAUUCUCGCCUUUCUUUUAGUUUUUUACUUUACUAUAACAGAAAUACUGAUUUUGUGCAGAUGGAGAAAUUAAGCACUGAAUUAUUUCUGUUCCCAGUGCUGAGGACGUUUUGCUAUUUAGGACAAUCAAUAGUUUUCAGAAUGUAUUUUUCUUUUACAUUUGUCUCAAACGUCUUUGAAUAAUGUUUACCUUUGUUUUCACAGCAUUUUUUCCAUCUGAUGGAAACGUGUUUAUUUAGCAUUUACAGGUCUUUGCUACUGUAAACAUCAGUGUGAGAGAAUUGGAUGCCCUUUAUUAUUUUUCUUAAUUAGUGUUCUGUAUGAAGAUGUGCACAGUGGUAAUGUAUGCAAUGUCAGGAGGAGCAAAUUCAUAUGACCUUGUUGAUUUUUAUUGUUUUGUUUUUUUUAACUGAAUUUAAGGCAAGUCAGUGCUGAGACAUGAAAGUUUCAUGGCAGGAAUGUACUUCUAUAUUUAUAUGUGUUAUGUAAUUAGAUAUACACUCACUGAGCACUUUAUUAGGACCACUAUGGUCCUAAUAAAGUGCCAGACUUGGUCUUCUAUUGUUGUAGCCCACCCGCCUCAAGGUACGACGUGUUGUGUAUUCUGAUAUGCUAUUCUGCUCACUACAAUUGUACAGAGUGGUUAUCUGAGUUACUGUAGCCUUUCUGUCAGCUUGAACCAGUCUGGCAAUUCUCUCAUCAACAACCCUUUUCUGUCCGAAGACCUGCCGCUCAUUGAAUGUCUUUUGGCACCAUUCUGAGUAAACUAGAGAUUGUUGUGUGUGGAAAUUCCAGUAGACCAGCAGUAACAGAAAUACUCAAACCAGCCUGUCUGGCACCAAUAAUCAUGCCAUGGUCUAAAUCACAGAGAUCAUAUUUUUUCCCAUUUUGAUGGUUGAUGUGAACAUUAACUGUUGCUCCUGACCCAUAUCUGAAUGAUUUUGUGCACUGCACAGCUGCCACAUUAUUGGCUGAAUAGAUAAGCGCAUUAAUAAGGUGGUGUACAGGUGUUCCCAAUAAAGUCCUCAGUGAGUGUAUAUAAGAUUUGACCAUCAUAAUAGUCACGAAGUUGAAGUUUUAUUUUCAGUGUAAUAUAGACUAGGGUAACAAAUUUGAUAUUUUCUGUUUUUUUUUUUUUUUCAAAAUAUUUAUAUUUCAAGAUGCACAUCAUGUUGUCUUUUAGAGAAAUCUAAAAAUAAAAGUAGUUGGUCUUGCAGCUUCAUUGUGCUUGAGUUGAAACCUGACAUGAGUUGUACCAAAUAUUCCUUACCUGUCUUUUGUCAUCCAGGCUAGUCUUAAAAAUAAAAACAAAUAACCAGGCAAAAGGCACUGACCUGUUCCUCAAUGUUAUUCAGAUGACGUGAAUUAGAAUCAGGGUGCAACAUCUGCAGUGAAGCCUUAAGUGAUGUGAAUAUACUGCCACCUGAAGGUUCCUGCAGUCAUGGAAAACCUGGAAAUAUGAGGCAACUUUAAAUUUGUGAUCUCCAGGCUUGGAAAAGUCAUGGCAAUUCGACAAAUCUUAAAGGGAUAGUUCACCCAGAAAUGAACAUUCUUUCAUUUACUCAACCUCAUGCCAUCCCAGAUGUGCUUGACUUUCUUUUGCUGAACACAAAGAUUUUUAGAAGAAUAUCUCAGCUCUGUAGGUCCUCACAAUGGAACUGAAAGGUGACCAGACCUUUCAAGCUUCAAAAAUCACAAAGGCAGCACAUAAGUAAUCCAUAUA
This is an RNA transcript of Xyrauchen texanus (razorback sucker), 4221 nucleotides long. It is a transcript of the gene named SH3 domain-binding protein 5-like, with no coding region annotated. The transcript is spliced from 7 exons. NCBI's taxonomy places the organism in Eukaryota, Metazoa, Chordata, Actinopteri, Cypriniformes, Catostomidae. The record is from RefSeq and is a predicted model, not a curated record.